UUUUUCCAUGAUGUUAUUCGAAUAUUUCGACAUUUCUGCUGUCAGGCAGGUCCGAUGGAAUGCCCAUCACUGUUGUAAAUGCUGUGUGUAAUAUUAUUUCCUACCCAUUGACUACAACAAUUAACGUCUCUAGAACAGGAAUGUUUUCUAAAUGUCUUGAAAUAUGAUAAGAUGAAGCCAAUCUUCAAAAAGCUAUUACCAGAAUAUGUAGGCAAACUUGUCUGUUGCACAGUAUUCUGUAAGUCAUUGGAAAGGUUGUGACCAAACAAAUGGAAAAGUGUCUGAUAAAAACAGUAAUACUUGAAAAAUCACGUAGGUUUCCAGAAAGGGAAAAGCUUUAUACAUGACAUAGACAAAUUAACUGAUAAAAAUAAGCUCCUCGUUAGAUAAAGUAAAAUGGUCACAUGAACUUUCUGUGACCUGUCAAAAGCUUUUGUUUUAAUGUAUCACACAUAACUUGUUUUCAAAAUACAAAGAUAUAGUAUCAGGGCCUGUGAGUUGCAGUGGUUGAUGUCAUAUUUGGUAGAUUGAACACAUAGAGUAACCACAAAUGGAAGCAAUUACUUCUGAGGCUUGAAGACUUUUUAUCUCCAAGGUUCAAUAUCUUGUUUGCAGAUGCCACCUCAGUCCUAAUGGAAUAUAAUGUCCUAGAAAGUAUCCCAGAUAGUAUUCAAAACAUCAAAAAACCUUGAAUCCUGGUUUUAUCAAAGUGGACUGAAAAUGAAUGUAACAAAGACCCACGUGAUGCAGUUUAGAGCUAAAAUACCAGAAACAGUUGAAAAUAAAAUAACUCAGAAUGGCCAGGAAAUGACAGAAAAGCAAAAAUGUGUCUCACAGAUACUUUGAAUUGGUUAUUGGGUAUAGUAUAACCUUCUGGGAAAAUUCAACCCAACAACAUUAGACUUCUGAUGCUUCACAAGAAGAUCAUCAAAAACAGUUUGUUUCAGGUUGCUGUUGUUUAAAUGUUAAUGAAAACUAUGAAGCAAGUAGGAGUCAGUUCCCUCUGAGCGACACAGGUGUUAACAGACUGAAAUCUUCAGUCAUCACCACCAGUGAAUUCUACAUAACAGUGGAAAAUAACAUAAGGACAAAUUAAACAAUGUGUACUGCAUUUAGCUAGUUAUUUACGUGUUCCAGAGAAUGUUUGUAUGAUAUUUAAUCAUAACAAGGCAUUGGUCAGUUGACAGGUUAAAGAAGUGGCUACAUGAUGCCCAUGUACUGAAUUUGUGUAAUAGUAAAAAUAUUUAGGUUAUUAGCAGAAGAAACUAUGUAAUUCUCUUAAACUUCAUACAAAACAAGUUUCUAAAUAAAAACUCCUCUUUGGAAUA
This is a long non-coding RNA of Schistocerca gregaria, 1328 nucleotides long. RefSeq lists it as uncharacterized. The transcript is spliced from 4 exons. NCBI's taxonomy places the organism in Eukaryota, Metazoa, Arthropoda, Insecta, Orthoptera, Acrididae. The record is from RefSeq and is a predicted model, not a curated record.